CCGGGUUCAUGCUAAAGCCUUUCAACCAAUUCUCACAGUGAUUCCGAAGCAAGCCCCCAUAACAAGCCCACGGACCCCUCAGUGUUAAGGGUGAAGAAACCUUCAGGUCACCAUGGAGAGGUUUGUUGGAGAAUAUUAGACUGUUUCGAUUCUUCCAUAAAUUUUGAAUGGCUAUCUGGAAGAAGGUUCCCCACGGAAUUCCUAGAGAAGGAAGGUUGAGAGGAGGAGCAAUUAAAUUUGAUCCAGUCUCCCAACGGGAUAAAGAAGGUGGCUCGUUUAGACGACGAGAUGCAAACACUCUCCCAGAAAUCACGAGCGAUGGGACACUACCUAAGAAUAUGCAGGAUUGAUUCUUCUUGGCAGUUGCAGAAGGAUCAUCGUGGGUCCAUAGGAAGACCUCUGUUGGCCAAGUGAGAUCUGGUUGCCAACUUUCCAUGACAGAAAGCCAAAUAAAAAGUUUGAUCUUGGGGAUGGCGUUGCUCUUCCAAAUCCAAGACUAGUCCGCUUUAGGCGACAAAUUGGGACAGUUGAGGAGAGCAUAGUAGGGGAUCUUUGUUGAAAAAUACCCAUUGUUGGUGAGGCCCCAUACAAAACGAUCUUCAUGAUUUGUGGAGGAGCUGAGAGGGAUGCUGGUAAUGGCUUUCCUGAUGUCAGGGGGGCAGAGAAAGGGGAUGUUGUUGAAGUCCCAUGAUCUAGAGCUCGAAAUGAUCGUGCGAACAGUCCUUGAAGUCUCGGCUUGAGGUAAAGGGCCCUGUAUACAAUCACGUAAUGGGCGAUUAUCAAACCAAGUGUCGUUCCAGAGGUUCACCCUGGAUCCAUUAUCAAUGGCCCAUUUGGAUCCUCUGUCCCAUGCAAGCAAUUCCACUCUAAGAGCUUUCCAGUUAGCCGAUCCUUUCCAUAAUAAAUCCUAUCUUUGAUUCUCCAUUUUUUGUUUAAUGAGGCGAGCCCAAGGGGUAUCUUCCAGGAUAGCUCUCUUGACAAACUUCCCAAGGCAUGCUUUGUUCUUGAGAUCAGAUCUCGAAAUACCUAAACCGCAAUCAGCCUUAGGGAGAAUAACCGUGUCCCGAUUUACUAAAUGCAUCCUUCUCUUCUCGGAUGAGGAACCCCACCAGAAAUCGCGAUUUAGUCUAUCAAGAGAGAAAGUGAUAGACUGGGGCAGCAUCGCGCAUUUGUAUCGGGCAGGAUGGUAUGGCUGUCAUAACCGACUUUAUGAGUACCACUCUCCCUACUUGCGAUGACAAUUGAGACUUCCAACCCGUGAGUGUCUGUUGCAUUCCGUCCACAAUAUAUGAGAAGUCUUUGGCUCUAUUCGAUUUGAGGCCAAUGGGGAAUCCUAUAUACUUCCAAGAUCAUCAGUUAGCUCAAACUCAAGAGUAUUGGCAAAACGAUUUAUAGCCUCGGUUGGUGUAUUCUUUGAGAAUAGGAUUUUUGUAUUUUGGGUGC
This is a non-coding RNA of Punica granatum (pomegranate), 1443 nucleotides long. The record is from RefSeq and is a predicted model, not a curated record. NCBI's taxonomy places the organism in Eukaryota, Viridiplantae, Streptophyta, Magnoliopsida, Myrtales, Lythraceae.